RNAcentral lists this ribosomal RNA (467 nucleotides) under uncultured bacterium. Its description in RNAcentral is "partial 16S ribosomal RNA". It matches the Rfam family "Bacterial small subunit ribosomal RNA", at positions 28 to 507 of the family's 1533-position model. The record is from RNAcentral.
GACGAACGCUGGCGGCGUGCUUAACACAUGCAAGUCGAACGGAAAGGCCUCUUUCGGGGGGUACUCGAGUGGCGAACGGGUGAGUAACACGUGAGUAACCUGCCCUUGACUUUGGGAUAACUUCCGGCAACUGGGGCUAAUACCGGAUAGGAGCUCCUGUUGCAUGGAGGGGGCUGGAAAGUUUCGGCGGUUGGGGAUGGGCUCGCGGGUUAUCCGCUUUUUGGUGGGGUGGUGGUUUACCAAGGCCUUGCCGGGUAGCCGGCCUGUGAGGGUGACAGGCCAUACUGGCACUUAGGUGCGGCCCCGACUGCUACGGGGCGGAGAUGGGGGGAAGCUUGACCAAGCGGUGGCAGCCGGAUGCAGCAACGCCGCGUGCGGGAGGACGGCCUUCGGGGUGUAAACCGCAUUCGCAAAUGACGGAGCUUUGUGUGACGGUAGUGGGUAAAGAAGCACCGGCUAACUACGUG